ACAGCAGUCGCCACGGUAAUACAGAGGGUGCGAGCGUUAAUCGGAUUUACUGGGCGUAAAGCGUGCGUAGGCGGCUUUUUAAGUCGGAUGUGAAAUCCCUGAGCUUAACUUAGGAAUUGCAUUCGAUACUGGGAAGCUAGAGUAUGGGAGAGGAUGGUAGAAUUCCAGGUGUAGCGGUGAAAUGCGUAGAGAUCUGGAGGAAUACCGAUGGCGAAGGCAGCCAUCUGGCCUAAUACUGACGCUGAGGUACGAAAGCAUGGGGAGCAAACAGGAUUAGAGACCCCUGUAGUCCCUGUCUCUUAUAC
Molecule: ribosomal RNA, 305 nt
Filed under: uncultured bacterium
Lineage: Bacteria
Description: partial 16S ribosomal RNA
Rfam family: Bacterial small subunit ribosomal RNA
Source: RNAcentral